RNAcentral lists this ribosomal RNA (524 nucleotides) under Palaemonella okunoi. Its description in RNAcentral is "partial large subunit ribosomal RNA". The record is from RNAcentral. Lineage: Eukaryota; Metazoa; Arthropoda; Malacostraca; Decapoda; Palaemonidae.
CUGAUAGUAUAUUYAAGGGCCGCGGUAAUUUGACCGUGCKAAGGUAGCAUAGUCACUAGCCUUUUAAUUAAAGGAUGGAAUGAAGGGUUGGAUGAAGGAUAGGCUGUCUUUUUAAUAAUAUUUGAAUUUUACUUUUAAGUGAAAAGGCUUUAAUUUAAUAAAGUGAAGAUAAGACCCUAUAAAACUUUAUAUAAUAAUAUAAUAUGCAUUUUAUUUUGUAAAAGAUAAUAAAAUUGAAUUAUAUUUAGUUGGGGCGACGAAAAUAGAACUUAAAUAUCUGUUUUUUUAAUGAAUUAAUAAUAAUUAAUUUUAUGAUCCUUUAUUAAAGAUUAAAAGAACAAGUUACUUUAGGGAUAACAGCGUAAUUUUCUUUGAGAGUUCUUAUCGACAAGAUUAGUUGCGACCUCGAUGUUGAAUUAAAAUUAUUCUGAUAAGUGUAGUAGCUUAUUUAGUAAGUCUGUUCGACUUUUAAAAUUUUACAUGAUUUGAGUUCAAACCGGUGUGAGCCAGGUUGGUUUCUAUCU